AACGAACGCUGGCGGCAGGCUUAACACAUGCAAGUCGAACGCCCCGCAAGGGGAGUGGCAGACGGGUGAGUAACGCGUGGGAAUCUACCCAAUUCUUCGGAACAACACAUGGAAACGUGUGCUAAUACCGGGUGAGCCCUUCGGGGGAAAGAUUUAUCGGAAUUGGAUGAGCCCGCGUUGGAUUAGCUAGUUGGUGGGGUAAAGGCCUACCAAGGCGACGAUCCAUAGCUGGUCUGAGAGGAUGAUCAGCCACACUGGGACUGAGACACGGCCCAGACUCCUACGGGAGGCAGCAGUGGGGAAUAUUGGACAAUGGGCGCAAGCCUGAUCCAGCCAUGCCGCGUGAGUGAUGAAGGUCUUAGGAUUGUAAAGCUCUUUCACCGGUGAAGAUAAUGACGGUAACCGGAGAAGAAGCCCCGGCUAACUUCGUGCCAGCAGCCGCGGUAAUACGAAGGGGGCUAGCGUUGUUCGGAUUUACUGGGCGUAAAGCGCACGUAGGCGGACUUUUAAGUCAGGGGUGAAAUCCCGGGGCUCAACCCCGGAACUGCCUUUGAUACUGGGAGUCUUGAGUUCGAGAGAGGUGAGUGGAAUUGCGAGU
RNAcentral lists this ribosomal RNA (598 nucleotides) under uncultured Alphaproteobacteria bacterium. Its description in RNAcentral is "bacterial SSU rRNA". It matches the Rfam family "Bacterial small subunit ribosomal RNA", at positions 28 to 674 of the family's 1533-position model. The record is from RNAcentral. Lineage: Bacteria; Pseudomonadati; Pseudomonadota; Alphaproteobacteria.